This 472-nucleotide ribosomal RNA is filed under the name uncultured bacterium. RNAcentral describes it as "bacterial SSU rRNA". It matches the Rfam family "Bacterial small subunit ribosomal RNA", at positions 355 to 825 of the family's 1533-position model. The record is from RNAcentral.
UCGAGAAUCAUUCGCAAUGGGCGAAAGCCUGACGAUGCGACGCCGUGUGUGUGAUGAAGGCCUUCGGGUCGUAAAGCACUUUCGCUUGGGAACAAGAAAGGUCGGAUAAUACCCGGCCAAUUUGAGGGUACCAGGUAAAGAAGCACCGGCUAACUACGUGCCAGCAGCUGCGGUAAUACGUAGGGUGCAAGCAUUAAUCGGAAUUAUUGGGCGUAUAGGGCGCGUAGGCGGAUCAGUAAGUCGGAUGUGAAAUCCCAGGGCUCAACCUUGGAACUGCAUCCGAAACUGCUAGUCUAGAGGGUAGGCGGAGAAAACGGAAUUCCACAAGUAGCGGUGAAAUGCGUAGAUAUGUGGAAGAACACCGGUGGCGAAGGCGGUUUUCUAGCUUAUUCCUGACGCUGAGGCGCGAAAGCAAGGGGAUCAAACAGGAUUAGAUACCCUUGUAGUCCCUGAGCGGGCUGGCAAGGCGCAU